CGACGGCACGCGCGCAAGCUCCGCCUGCGAACCCCGCCAGGUCCGGAAGGAAGCAACGGUAACGGGACUGGACUGUGCAGCGCGAUCCCCGAAGCUU
This 97-nucleotide signal recognition particle RNA is filed under the name Acidobacteriota bacterium. RNAcentral's name for it is "Acidobacteria bacterium signal recognition particle sRNA small type". The stretch from base 6 to 90 matches the Rfam family "Bacterial small signal recognition particle RNA". Rfam says of the family: The signal recognition particle (SRP) is a universally conserved ribonucleoprotein involved in the co-translational targeting of proteins to membranes. Archaeal SRP consists of a 7S RNA and homologues of the eukaryotic SRP19 and SRP54 proteins. Lineage: Bacteria; Pseudomonadati; Acidobacteriota. The record is from RNAcentral.